Molecule: non-coding RNA, 3608 nt
Organism: Punica granatum (pomegranate)
Lineage: Eukaryota; Viridiplantae; Streptophyta; Magnoliopsida; Myrtales; Lythraceae
Source: RefSeq, a predicted model, not a curated record
AGAGAGCUGCACACGACCGCACCGGAACAAAACCCGGACUUGAUCCCGUCAAAAAAUCCCAUUGCAUAAUCGGCAAUAGGUCCGGACAAUUGCAACUGGAGGAUUUGAUUACUGGGUUUCGGUCAAAAAGCAGCUCAGAAACUGAUGAGAGGAGGAGGAGGAGGAGGAGGAGGAGGCGUUAACACCCAACCCUAAUCGGCUGCUCCCCGACCUCCCGGCGUUCGUCUCCCGGUCACAAUUCGACCUCCCUCUCGUAUCGAUAGGUUCUGGAGCUGAUAUAUUGAGGUUUUUGGCCCCGUUGGCGGUUGAGAAGUAGGAGAUGGAUUUAGUUGGCAGCUGCAAGGACAAGCUACUACAUUUUCGUAUAAGGGAGCUCAAGCAUGUUCUCACUGAGUUGGGUCUUUCAAAGCAGGGGAAGAAACAGGAUCUUGUUGACCGGGUGUUAUCUGUUCUCUCAGAAGAACAAGUGUCAAGGAUGUGGCAGAAGAAGAAUAUUACGAAGGAAGAGGUUGCAAGACUUGUGGAUGAUAUUUACAGAAAAAUGCAGGUAUCUGGAGCCACUGAUUUAGCAUCAAAGGGACAGGGUGCCUCAGAUAGCAGUAAUGUGAAAAUAAAAGGAGAAUAUGAUGAUCCCUUUCGGUCAGAUACCAAGGUCAAAUGUCCUUGUGGAAGCUCUUUGGAGACGGAUUCAAUGAUCAUGUGUGAAGAACCAACAUGCCAUGUUUGGCAGCAUAUGAGCUGCGUUUUAAUUCCUGAAAAACCAAUGGAGGGCAAUCAUCUACCUGUUCCUGAAGUAUUUUACUGUGAAAUAUGUCGUCUCCAUCGAGCAGAUCCGUUUUGGGUGACUAUGACUAAUCCUUUGAAUCCUGUUAAGCUUCCUGUUACCAGUAUUCCAACGGAUGGCGCAAAUCCAGUGCAAAGUGUAGAUAGAACUUUCCAGCUUACUAGGGCGGACAAAGACUUGCUUUCAAAACCGGAAUAUGAUGUUCAGGCUUGGUGUAUGCUCUUAAACGACAAAGUUUCCUUUAGGAUGCAGUGGCCACAAUAUGCAGAUCUGCAGGUCAAUGGAAUGCCAGUUCGUGCAAUUAAUAGGCCUGGCUCGCAGCUGCUUGGGGCCAAUGGUCGUGACGAUGGUCCAAUUAUAACACCAUGUACAAAAGAUGGAAUCAACAAGAUCUCCUUAACAGGAUGUGAUGCUCGGAUCUUCUGCCUGGGCGUCAGAAUUGUUAAACGGCGCACCGUUCAACAGAUCCUCAAUUUUAUACCUAAAGAAUCUGAAGGCGAGAAAUUUGAAGAUGCUCUUGGGCGUGUUUGCCGUUGUGUUGGUGGCGGGGGUGCAGCAGAUGCUGAUAGUGAUAGCGAUCUAGAAGUUGUUGCUGAUUCAUUUGCUGUUAAUCUUCGGUGUCCUAUGAGUGGCUCGAGAAUGAAGGUUGCAGGUAGAUUCAAGCCUUGUGCUCACAUGGGGUGUUUUGACCUCGAAGUUUUUGUGGAGAUGAAUCAACGCUCCAGGAAGUGGCAGUGUCCGAUCUGUCUGAAAAAUUAUUGUUUGGAGAACGUCAUUAUCGACCCGUACUUCAAUCGCAUUACGUCUAUGAUGAGACACUGUGGAGAAGAUGUUACGGAGAUUGAUGUGAAGCCUGAUGGUUCUUGGCGUGUAAAGACGAAAUCCGAAAGUGAACGGAGGGAACUUGGAGAUCUGAGCCAGUGGCACCUCCCUGAUGGUACUCUCUGUGUUCCUGCUGAUGAAAAAGUUCUGCCGAAGGCAGAAUUUAUGAUGCAGGUAAAGCAGGAAGGAGGUUCGGACGGUCAUUCCAGAUUAAAACUUGGAAUAAGGAAGAACCAGGAUGGUAUGUGGGAAGUCAGUAAACCUGAUGGAGUGAACAAUUCUUACGGCAAUAGAUUGCAAGAUAAGUUUGAAGAUCACGAACCAAAGGUUAUUCCUAUGAGUAGUAGUGCUACCGGAAGUGGCAAAGAAGGUGAGGACCCAAGUGUUAACCAGGAUGGGGGUGGGAAUUUCGAUUUUUCUGCUAAUAAUGGUAUUGAACUUGAUUCCGUUGCUUUUAAUGUCGACCCUAUAUUUGGAUUGGGUGAGCAAAAUCCUGUUGCAGCUGCUGGGGACCAAGAGGUUAUUGUUCUUAGUGAUUCAGAUGAUGAUAAUGACAUACUAAUAUCUUCUGGGAGUGGCUACAAGGGCAAUCAGUCAGAACCCAGUGGAAUAAAUUUUCCCCUAGCCCAUUCAGUUAUGACUGAUUCGUUUGAAGAUCCUGUCCUUGGUAAUGGUGGGAAUUCAUGCUUAGGACUAUUUAAUCCCAAUGAUGAUGAGUUUGGGGGGAUGCCUCUCUGGCCAUUACCUCCAGGGUCUCAAGCUGGACCUGGCUUUCAAUUAUUUACUUCAGAUGGUGAUGUCUCCGAUGCUAUGGUCGAUAUCCCACACGGUCCAAUAAGCUGUGCUACGACGAUGAACGGCUAUACUAUGGCCCCAGAUGCCAACAUGGGACCUGGUGCACUACUCUCAGAUCCUUCUAUGAACCGGUCAGACACCCAAUUAAAUGAUAAUCUGGUUGAUAACCCGUUAGCAAUUGGUAGGGAUGAUCCCUCUCUUCAGAUUUUCCUUCCAACAAGGCCUUCUGGGACAUCUGCGCAGCCCAACAUGAGAGACCAGGCUGAUAUGUCGAACGGAAUACGCACUGAGGAUUGGAUCUCCCUAAGACUUGGGGGUGGGGCCGCCGGUGGUCAUGGUGAUUCUGGAGAAGCCAAUGGCUUUAGUUCGAGACCGCAAGUUCCCUCUGGAGAUGGCGCCAUGGAUUGUUUGGCUGAUACGGCUUCAUUGCUUCUUGGAAUGAAUGAUGGAAGAUCCGAGAAGGCAAGUAGACAGAGAUCGGACAGCCCCUUCUCAUUCCCACGGCAGAAACGCUCUGUGAGGCCGCGGUUGUACCUCUCUAUCGAUUCGGAUUCCGAUUAGAGGAUUGUUUAGAUGCAGUUUUACUUUCCCACAAUUCAUGUAUACAAAGGAUUCUCCAGGUUGGAUCUGAUGAUCGAGAGCUCUUCAUGCGGACCCAAACUCAGUUGUUUUUAAGAGUCCGAGAUUGUUGAAUUCCCAUGAGGCUGAUAGUCUGGUCCUAAAGAAGUCGAAAUGAACUCAUGGUCUCUUGCGCGGCAUAGCUCGACAAUGACUGCAGGUCUGGGCUUCAGGUAAACUGUACAGUGAUAGCAAAAAGCGACUCUGAACAGGUUUUUGAUUUCGAAAUCAACUGGGAUGAUGCAAUUAGGAAAAAAGUCCUCGCAGAAAGUUUUUGUGCAGUGUUGAGGGCUUGUACCUUUGUAAAUUAAUUAUAAUUGUUAUUAAUUUUAUACUUGGUCUCCCCCUAAUUGAUGGUGAAGGACAAUAGUAUGUAUUCACACCUUCUGUACAUCUCUGUUGGAGGAGCCUCUUUUUUCUGUUCCGGAUGUUUACUGUCCAGACUGAAAUCCCCGCAAUGUUCGUAUGGUGGUUUACUGGUUUGCUUUAGGUAUUAAAAGAGCAACAAGAUUGAUUCUUAAGUGAUUAUGUCUUAUGACGAUGUGGUUAACAAUAAUAAGCACUUGCAAAUUAUGGCAUGUUACUUGCA